UCCAUUUGCUCCCGUGUAGUACGCUGGCUCGCCAUGAUUUAUCAGGGAGCAAAGCACCCCGGCCAUCUCUCUCUCUCUCUAUCUCUAUCUCUCUCUCUGUGUGAUGUCAACCUCGGUUGCCUUUUAUUUUCAGAUCUGCAAUGGCCUGAAGAAUGAGGCAAUCCUUGGAAGCAGCACGUACAUGUGAUCCCCCUCUCACUCUAAUUCCAAGGUUAUGUUGCUGAUGGUAGGUGUCACUCUGGAUUGUAGAAAACAUGAUAAGAGCAUGGAGAUGGACUGCUGCAUAUAUAUGCUGCCGACACUACCAUUUUCUUGAUCAUAAAACAUGAUAAGAGCAUGGAUGGAUUGCUGCAAAUUCAUGUUGUUGUUGCGGGAUCAUGUCGGCCCUCCCUUGUGCUAGCCAGCCAUCAGGAGCGACUGCAUUUGGUUCAUGCGGACGCGGCUGUGGCUUCCUGUGGUGCUCCUCUCGUGUCGCCUC
Triticum dicoccoides is the source of this 478-nucleotide long non-coding RNA. RefSeq lists it as uncharacterized. NCBI's taxonomy places the organism in Eukaryota, Viridiplantae, Streptophyta, Magnoliopsida, Poales, Poaceae. The record is from RefSeq and is a predicted model, not a curated record. The transcript is spliced from 3 exons.